Molecule: ribosomal RNA, 1556 nt
Filed under: Escherichia coli
Lineage: Bacteria; Pseudomonadati; Pseudomonadota; Gammaproteobacteria; Enterobacterales; Enterobacteriaceae
Description: bacterial SSU rRNA
Rfam family: Bacterial small subunit ribosomal RNA
Source: RNAcentral
AAAUUGAAGAGUUUGAUCAUGGCUCAGAUUGAACGCUGGCGGCAGGCCUAACACAUGCAAGUCGAACGGUAACAGGAAACAGCUUGCUGUUUCGCUGACGAGUGGCGGACGGGUGAGUAAUGUCUGGGAAACUGCCUGAUGGAGGGGGAUAACUACUGGAAACGGUAGCUAAUACCGCAUAACGUCGCAAGACCAAAGAGGGGGACCCUCGGGCCUCUUGCCAUCGGAUGUGCCCAGAUGGGAUUAGCUUGUUGGUGGGGUAACGGCUCACCAAGGCGACGAUCCCUAGCUGGUCUGAGAGGAUGACCAGCCACACUGGAACUGAGACACGGUCCAGACUCCUACGGGAGGCAGCAGUGGGGAAUAUUGCACAAUGGGCGCAAGCCUGAUGCAGCCAUGCCGCGUGUAUGAAGAAGGCCUUCGGGUUGUAAAGUACUUUCAGCGGGGAGGAAGGGAGUAAAGUUAAUACCUUUGCUCAUUGACGUUACCCGCAGAAGAAGCACCGGCUAACUCCGUGCCAGCAGCCGCGGUAAUACGGAGGGUGCAAGCGUUAAUCGGAAUUACUGGGCGUAAAGCGCACGCAGGCGGUUUGUUAAGUCAGAUGUGAAAUCCCCGGGCUCAACCUGGGAACUGCAUCUGAUACUGGCAAGCUUGAGUCUCGUAGAGGGGGGUAGAAUUCCAAGUGUAGCGGUGAAAUGCGUAGAGAUCUGGAGGAAUACCGGUGGCGAAGGCGGCCCCCUGGACGAAGACUGACGCUCAGGUGCGAAAGCGUGGGGAGCAAACAGGAUUAGAUACCCUGGUAGUCCACGCCGUAAACGAUGUCGACUUGGAGGUUGUGCCCUUGAGGCGUGGCUUCCGGAGCUAACGCGUUAAGUCGACCGCCACCGGGGAGUACGGCCGCAAGGUUAAAACUCAAAUGAAUUGACGGGGGCCCGCACAAGCGGUGGAGCAUGUGGUUUAAUUCGAUGCAACGCGAAGAACCUUACCUGGUCUUGACAUCCACGGAAGUUUUCAGAGAUGAGAAUGUGCCUUCGGGAACCGUGAGACAGGUGCUGCAUGGCUGUCGUCAGCUCGUGUUGUGAAAUGUUGGGUUAAGUCCCGCAACGAGCGCAACCCUUAUCCUUUGUUGCCAGCGGUCCGGCCGGGAACUCAAAGGAGACUGCCAGUGAUAAACUGGAGGAAGGUGGGGAUGACGUCAAGUCAUCAUGGCCCUUACGACCAGGGCUACACACGUGCUACAAUGGCGCAUACAAAGAGAAGCGACCUCGCGAGAGCAAGCGGACCUCAUAAAGUGCGUCGUAGUCCGGAUUGGAGUCUGCAACUCGACUCCAUGAAGUCGGAAUCGCUAGUAAUCGUGGAUCAGAAUGCCACGGUGAAUACGUUCCCGGGCCUUGUACACACCGCCCGUCACACCAUGGGAGUGGGUUGCAAAAGAAGUAGGUAGCUUAACCUUCGGGAGGGCGCUUACCACUUUGUGAUUCAUGACUGGGGUGAAGUCGUAACAAGGUAACCGUAGGGGAACCUGCGGUUGGAUCACCUCCUUACCUUAAAGAAGC